Molecule: ribosomal RNA, 301 nt
Filed under: uncultured bacterium
Lineage: Bacteria
Description: partial 16S ribosomal RNA
Rfam family: Bacterial small subunit ribosomal RNA
Source: RNAcentral
CAGUAGCCGCGGGAAAACGAAGGGUGCAAGCGUUACUCGGAAUUACUGGGCGUAAAGCGUGCGUAGGUGGUGGUUUAAGUCCGUUGUGAAAGCCCUGGGCUCAACCUGGGAAUUGCAGUGGAUACUGGGUCACUAGAGUGUGGUAGAGGAUAGUGGAAUUUCCGGUGUAGCAGUGAAAUGCGUAGAGAUCGGAAGGAACAUCUGUGGCGAAGGCGACUAUCUGGGCCAACACUGACACUGAGGCACGAAAGCGUGGGGAGCAAACAGGAUUAGAUACCCGGGUAGUCCCUGUCUCUUAUAC